Molecule: small nuclear RNA, 112 nt
Organism: Eptesicus fuscus (big brown bat)
Lineage: Eukaryota; Metazoa; Chordata; Mammalia; Chiroptera; Vespertilionidae
Source: RefSeq, a predicted model, not a curated record
GUACUUGCCUCAGCAGCACAUACAUUAAAUUGAAAUGCAACAAAGAAGAUAAGCAUGGCCUCUAUGCAAAGAUGAGAUGCAAAUUUGUGAACACCAAUCAGAAAGGAUAUAU